This 77-nucleotide transfer RNA is filed under the name Magnetococcales bacterium. RNAcentral's name for it is "tRNA-Arg". It matches the Rfam family "tRNA". From Rfam's summary of the family: Transfer RNA (tRNA) molecules are approximately 80 nucleotides in length. Their secondary structure includes four short double-helical elements and three loops (D, anti-codon, and T loops). The record is from RNAcentral. Lineage: Bacteria; Pseudomonadati; Pseudomonadota; Magnetococcia; Magnetococcales.
GCGCCUGUAGCUCAACUGGAUAGAGCAACGGCCUUCUAAGCCGUAGGUUGCAGGUUCGAGUCCUGCCGGGCGUACCA